This 468-nucleotide ribosomal RNA is filed under the name uncultured bacterium. RNAcentral's name for it is "partial 16S ribosomal RNA". It matches the Rfam family "Bacterial small subunit ribosomal RNA", at positions 28 to 507 of the family's 1533-position model. The record is from RNAcentral.
GACGAACGCUGGCGGCGUGCUUAACACAUGCAAGUCGAACGGAAAGGCCCUGCUUUUGUGGGGUGCUCGAGUGGCGAACGGGUGAGUAACACGUGAGUAACCUGCCCUUGACUUUGGGAUAACUUCAGGAAACUGGGGCUAAUACCGGAUAGGAGCUCCUGCUGCAUGGUGGGGGUUGGAAAGUUUCGGCGGUUGGGGAUGGACUCGCGGCUUAUCAGCUUGUUGGUGGGGUAGUGGCUUACCAAGGCUUUGACGGGUAGCCGGCCUGAGAGGGUGACCGGACACAUUGGGACUGAGAUACGGCCCAGACUCCUACGGGAGGCAGCAGUGGAGAAUAUGGCACAAUGGGCGGAAGCCUGAUGCAGCAACGCCGCGUGCGGGAUGACGGCCUUCGGGUUGUAAACCGCUUUCGCCUGUGACGAAGCGUGAGUGACGGUAAUGGGUAAAGAAGCACCGGCUAACUACGUG